This 771-nucleotide long non-coding RNA is filed under the name Solanum tuberosum (potato). RNAcentral's name for it is "long non-coding RNA (STUB_LNC002405)". Lineage: Eukaryota; Viridiplantae; Streptophyta; Magnoliopsida; Solanales; Solanaceae. The record is from RNAcentral.
UUACACUGAAAAAGGUUUAAUUGAUCUCUCAAGAUUUCUGUCAUUGUAUGGUUAUGGUUCUUUUUUUUUUAUUCCACAUGAUUGUAUAUGCUAACUAUGGUGAAUCUUUCUCAUCUUUGCUACAUCAAAAAAGACAAAAUUGCAGUUACAGGAUUUCUGAUUUAGUGCUUUGGUUACUGAGAAUUAAGUUUCUUCCUGGCCCUUACUCUGGAUUAAACCGUUGAUCCUUAGCUGAAGAGGCUAAGUUGUAUUAACAGAUUUACAUGCUCUCACCAAUUUAGAUACUUAUGUAGAUGAAUCCUUUUGUUUUAGGUAGGGUUCAUAUGCUGAGGGGUCCCAAGAAAGCAGCAAGUUAGCACUAUUAAAGGAAUUCAGAAGUGAAGGAUCAAAAAUAAAGGAUAAUGAUCAAUCAUUCGCUUUGUUAUGUCUGGCCUCACCCUCACUCCAUUUGGGAAAGCCCAGUGUAUCAUCCUUGACACAAUACUUCUGAACUUGCCCAGCUGACUUUUCUUUGUAAUCUCAAGUGAAAAUCUGGUGGUAUUGAAUUCCACAAAUUAUUUUUGUCCAACUCUUGGACGGUUUUGAAAAGUCAAAUUGCUAUAUGAGUGGUGAGUGAUGACAUUCAAGUCCUCAUUUUUUAAGUUUGUAUUCGUUGCUUACUUUUCUGCAGUUCGCUGUCUAAACUUUUCUUCAGUAUUAUAUAAUACAAUACAAUUUAUUGACCUGAUCUCUUAGCCUUGAAAUGCAGUUAUUAAUUAUAUUUGUUUUAUA